This 375-nucleotide unclassified non-coding RNA is filed under the name uncultured bacterium. Its description in RNAcentral is "contains 16S-23S intergenic spacer region". The record is from RNAcentral.
UCCAACUUAUCAUUGGCAGUUUUUUUAGAGUGCAUCUUCAGUUAAGAAAAUUAGCAACUAAAAAUGAGGGUUGCGCUCGUUAUAGGACUUAACCCAACGUCUCACGACACGAGCUGACGACAGCCAUGCAACACCUGUAAAAUCAUUACUUCUCGAAUCUCUUCAAGAAGAUAAAUUUUAUGUCAAGGGUUGGUAAGGUUUUACGCGUUGUUUCGAAUUAAACCACAUGCUCCACCGCUUGUGCGGGCCCCCGUCAAUUCCUUUGAGUUUCAACCUUGCGGUCAUACUCCCCAGGCGGAGUGCUUAAUGCGUUAGCUUCAACACUGAGAAAAGAUUUCCCAACGUUUAGCACUCAUAGUUUACGGCAUGGACUAC